CAGCUGAUGACUGUCAAAAACAGACAUGGUUUUGUUUUUAUUCAUAUUUAUAUACAAAAUCGAAUUUGUAAACAAGGUCCUCCAGCUCCUGCUGUGAAUCUGGUACCGAAAAAAUGGGAUUUCGACAACCCAGGGCGCUUCAGCAGCAGCCGAGCCGAGGAUUUCGAGUACUUUUCGCCAUUCUAAUGGGCUAAUGUUAGAAGGACUACCGAUUUAAGAUAGCCAGAGGAAACGACAAGCAAAUUUUCCCCA
This is a long non-coding RNA of Aedes aegypti (yellow fever mosquito), 252 nucleotides long. RefSeq lists it as uncharacterized. The transcript has 2 exons. The record is from RefSeq and is a predicted model, not a curated record. Lineage: Eukaryota; Metazoa; Arthropoda; Insecta; Diptera; Culicidae.